GGCGUAAUGGUAUAGUGGUAAGGCUUAGGGCUCGUGACCCAAAGAUUGCUGGUUCAGUUCCGAAAUGGGGCA
Molecule: non-coding RNA, 72 nt
Organism: Megalops atlanticus (tarpon)
Lineage: Eukaryota; Metazoa; Chordata; Actinopteri; Elopiformes; Megalopidae
Source: the annotation of a GenBank genome assembly